GAGGGUAUAGCUCAAGUGGUAGAGUGCAUGCUUAGCAUGCAUGAGGUCCUGGGUUCAAUCCCAGUACCUCCU
Molecule: transfer RNA, 72 nt
Filed under: Camelus bactrianus (Bactrian camel)
Lineage: Eukaryota; Metazoa; Chordata; Mammalia; Artiodactyla; Camelidae
Also listed under: 3 other names
Rfam family: tRNA
About the family: Transfer RNA (tRNA) molecules are approximately 80 nucleotides in length. Their secondary structure includes four short double-helical elements and three loops (D, anti-codon, and T loops).
Source: Rfam by way of RNAcentral